RNAcentral lists this ribosomal RNA (807 nucleotides) under uncultured Planctomycetota bacterium. RNAcentral describes it as "bacterial SSU rRNA". It matches the Rfam family "Bacterial small subunit ribosomal RNA", at positions 8 to 847 of the family's 1533-position model. The record is from RNAcentral. Lineage: Bacteria; Pseudomonadati; Planctomycetota.
AGGGUUUGAUCAUGGCUCAGAAUGAACGUUGGCGGCGUGGAUUAGGCAUGCAAGUCGAGCGAGAACCGGAGCAAUCCGGGGAAAGCGGCAAACGGGGUAGUAAUGCAUCGGUACGUGCCCUCGGGUCGGGGAUAGCCAGGGGAAACCCUGAUUAAUACCCGAUAAUCUCGAGAGAGCAAAGGUUUACUGCCGGAGGAGCGGCCGAUGUGGCAUCAGGUCGUUGGCGGGGUAACGGCCCACCAAGCCUUAGACGCCUAGGGGGCGUGAGAGCGCGACCCCCACCACUGGGACUGAGAUACUGCCCAGACACCUACGGGUGGCUGCAGUCGAGAAUCUUCCGCAAUGGGCGAAAGCCUGACGGAGCGACGCCGCGUGCGGGAUGAAGGCCCUUGGGUUGUAAACCGCUGUCAGGGGGGAUGAAAGCGCAAGCUUGACAGAGCCCCAGAGGAAGCACGGGCUAAGUUCGUGCCAGCAGCCGCGGUAAGACGAACUGUGCGAACGUUAUUCGGAAUCACUGGGCUUACAGGGUGCGUAGGCGGCCAGGUAAGUAGGGUGUGAAAUCCCCCGGCCCAACCGGGGAACUGCGCUCUAAACUACCUGGCUUGAGUGAGCUAGGGGUCCACGGAACUUCCAGUGGAGCGGUAAAAUGUGUUGAUAUUGGAAGGAACACCGGAGGCGAAAGCGGUGGACUGGGGCUUAACUGACGCUGAGGCACGAAAGCCAGGGGAGCGAACGGGAUUAGAUACCCCGGUAGUCCUGGCCGUAAACGAUGAGCACUGGGCGGGAGGAGGUUCGCCUUCUCCGGCC